Molecule: long non-coding RNA, 275 nt
Organism: Humulus lupulus (European hop)
Lineage: Eukaryota; Viridiplantae; Streptophyta; Magnoliopsida; Rosales; Cannabaceae
Exons: 3
Source: RefSeq, a predicted model, not a curated record
AGGCCAAUUAUAUUUCAUUCCUUGGAUUGUUGAUCGACAUUGGAUGUUGGUGCUCGUGAUGAUGCGGGGGAUGACCAUAAUUUUGGACCCUUUAAAAAAUCAUAAAUCUCCACCAAUAAUUACGGAGGUUAUGGAAAAAGCAUACGCACAAUGUUUGGAAAAUGAAUACAUCGGCACAUUUACAAAAUUGGUGAGAGGUUCUUGUCCAAAACAACCUGAAAGUCAUGAAUGUGGUUAUUAUGUACUAAGAUACAUUUAUGAUCUUGUAAAUGCAC